RNAcentral lists this ribosomal RNA (468 nucleotides) under uncultured bacterium. RNAcentral describes it as "partial 16S ribosomal RNA". It matches the Rfam family "Bacterial small subunit ribosomal RNA", at positions 28 to 507 of the family's 1533-position model. The record is from RNAcentral.
GACGAACGCUGGCGGCGUGCUUAACACAUGCAAGUCGAACGGAAAGGCCCUGCUUUUGUGGGGUGCUCGAGUGGCGAACGGGUGAGUAACACGUGAGUAACCUGCCCUUGACUUUGGGAUAACUUCAGGAAACUGGGGCUAAUACCGGAUAGGAGCUCCUGCUGCAUGGUGGGGGUUGGAAAGUUUCGGCGGUUGGGGAUGGACUCGCGGCUUAUCAGCUUGUUGGUGGGGUAGUGGCUUACCAAGGCUUUGACGGGUAGCCGGCCUGAGAGGGUGACCGGCCACAUUGGGACUGAGUUACGGCCCAGACUCCUACGGGAGGCAGCAGUGGGGAAUAUUGCACAAUGGGCGGAAGCCUGAUGCAGCAACGCCGCGUGCGGGAUGACGGCCUUCGGGUUGAAAACCGCUUUCGCCUGUGACGAAGCGUGAGUGACGGUAAUGGGUAAAGAAGCACCGGCUAACUACGUG